This is a small nucleolar RNA of Myxocyprinus asiaticus (Chinese sucker), 82 nucleotides long. RefSeq annotates it as small nucleolar RNA SNORD53/SNORD92. Lineage: Eukaryota; Metazoa; Chordata; Actinopteri; Cypriniformes; Catostomidae. The record is from RefSeq and is a predicted model, not a curated record. The transcript has a single exon.
UCAACAUGAUGAUACCAGAGAAUGGUUAUGCUUACAUGACUGAUAUAAUUUGAUGUCACACUUCUCUUGGCUGUCUGAUUAA